Molecule: ribosomal RNA, 253 nt
Filed under: uncultured bacterium
Lineage: Bacteria
Description: partial 16S ribosomal RNA
Rfam family: Bacterial small subunit ribosomal RNA
Source: RNAcentral
UACGAAGGGGGCUAGCGUUGUUCGGAAUUACUGGGCGUAAAGCGCGCGCAGGCGGUCUUCCAAGUCAGUGGUGAAAGCCCGGAGCUCAACUCCGGAACUGCCAUUGAAACUGUAAGACUUGAGGAUGAGAGAGGUGAGUGGAAUUCCCAGUGUAGAGGUGAAAUUCGUAGAUAUUGGGAAGAACACCGGUGGCGAAGGCGGCGACCUGGUCCGAUACUGACGCUGAGGCGCGAAAGCGUGGGGAGCAAACAGG